GAUGAACGCUGGCGGCGUGCCUAACACAUGCAAGUCGAACGGACAGACGAGGAGCUUGCUCCUCUGACGUUAGCGGCGGACGGGUGAGUAACACGUGGAUAACCUACCUAUAAGUCGGGGAUAACUUCGGGAAACCGGAUCUAAUACCGGAUAAUACAUCGAACGGCAGGGAGCAAUAGAGAUUGACGGCUUUGCUGUCUGUUUUAGCUGGAUCCGCGCCGGAUUAGCUAGUUGGUAAGGUAACGGCCUACCAAGGCAACGAUGCGUAGCCGACCUGAGAGGGUGAUCGGCCACACUGGAACUGAGACACGGUCCAGACUCCUACGGGAGGCAGCAGUAGGGAAUCUUCGGCAAUGGGCGAAAGCCUGACGCAGCAACACCGCGUGGGUGAAGAAGGCCUUCGGGUCGUAAAGCUCUGUUAUUGGGAAAGAACAACUGUAGAAGUAAACAUGGCUGUUCUGACGGUACCUAAAGAAUAAGCACCGGCUAACUACGUG
Molecule: ribosomal RNA, 497 nt
Filed under: uncultured bacterium
Lineage: Bacteria
Description: partial 16S ribosomal RNA
Rfam family: Bacterial small subunit ribosomal RNA
Source: RNAcentral